This 384-nucleotide ribosomal RNA is filed under the name uncultured bacterium. RNAcentral describes it as "bacterial SSU rRNA". It matches the Rfam family "Bacterial small subunit ribosomal RNA", at positions 30 to 422 of the family's 1533-position model. The record is from RNAcentral.
AUUGAACGCUGGCGGAAUGCUUUACACAUGCAAGUCGAACGGUAGAGGGGGCAACCCCUUGAGAGUGGCGAACGGGUGAGUAAUAUAUCGGAACGUGCCCGGUCGUGGGGAUAACGUAGCGAAAGCUACGCUAAUACUGCAUACGAUCUACGGAUGAAAGCGGGGGAUCGCAAGACCUCGCGCGAUUGGAGCGGCCGAUAUCAGAUUAGGUAGUUGGUGAGGUAAAGGCUCACCAAGCCGACGAUCUGUAGCUGGUCUGAGAGGACGACCAGCCACACUGGACUGAGACACGGCCCAGACUCCUACGGAGGCAGCAGUGGGAAUUUUGGACAAUGGGCGCAAGCCUGAUCCAGCAAUGCCGCGUGCAGGAUGAAGGCCUGGUGU